GUAGGGUGCGAGCGUUGUCCGGAAUUAUUGGGCGUAAAGAGCUCGUAGGCGGUUUGUUGCGUCGGCCGUGAAAACUUCACGCUUAACGUGGAGCCUGCGGUCGAUACGGGCAGACUUGAGUUCGGCAGGGGAGACUGGAAUUCCUGGUGUAGCGGUGAAAUGCGCAGAUAUCAGGAGGAACACCGGUGGCGAAGGCGGGUCUCUGGGCCGAUACUGACGCUGAGGAGCGAAAGCGUGGGGAGCGAACAGGAUUAGAUACCCUGGUAGUCCACGCCGUAAACGGUGGGUGCUAGGUGUGGGGGGCUUCCACGUCCUCCGUGCCGCAGCUAACGCAUUAAGCACCCCGCCUGGGGAGUACGGCCGCAAGGCUAAA
Molecule: ribosomal RNA, 373 nt
Filed under: uncultured bacterium
Lineage: Bacteria
Description: bacterial SSU rRNA
Rfam family: Bacterial small subunit ribosomal RNA
Source: RNAcentral